GAUGAAGAAGUAGCGAAAUGCGAUAAGUAAUGUGAAUUGCAGAAUUCAGUGAAUCAUCGAAUCUUUGAACGCACAUUGCGCCCCUUGGUAUUCCGAGGGGCAUGCCUAUUCGAGCGUCAUUAUCACCCCUCAAGCCUAGCUUGGUGUUGAGGCCUGCUGUCAAGGCAGCCUCUAAAAUCAGUGGCAGUGCUGUCAGGCUCUAAGCGUAGUAAAUCUAAUCGCUAUAGACACCUGGUGGACACUCGCCAGAACCCCCCCAUUUUUUAAUGAUUGACCUCGGAUUAGGUAGGGAUACCCGCUGAACUUAAGCAUAUCAAUAAGCGGAGGA
RNAcentral lists this unclassified non-coding RNA (328 nucleotides) under soil metagenome. Its description in RNAcentral is "partial contains 5.8S ribosomal RNA, internal transcribed spacer 2, and large subunit ribosomal RNA". The stretch from base 1 to 119 matches the Rfam family "5.8S ribosomal RNA", at positions 35 to 154 of the family's 154-position model. The record is from RNAcentral.